This 1819-nucleotide long non-coding RNA is filed under the name Triticum aestivum (bread wheat). RNAcentral's name for it is "long non-coding RNA (TAES_LNC005668)". Lineage: Eukaryota; Viridiplantae; Streptophyta; Magnoliopsida; Poales; Poaceae. The record is from RNAcentral.
ACAACCAUUUUUCAAACGACCACACAUUUUUUUUUCUCGAAUACGCACAAGCAUGCGUAUCAUAUAUUGAUAGAAGAAAGGGUGAAGAGACCCAUCCACAGUUUGAGUACAAUGCCAAAAGGCAAAAACACACCACGCUAAUCCCUGGGAUUAGAACCACACCUACUACAGACGAGAAUGAGAGAACUUGCCUUGCCCUAUCCCUAGCCAAGAAAGCAAAGAAGAUGGGGCACCGAGCAAACAGGCCGCGUCACUACCGUUGCAAGCAACAUCCAAGCCACACUGACAACUACAGAACUAACUAGAUCAACGUACCUCCCACCACUAGUGCCUAGAAGAGUCGGCUGGUGGAUGGCAGAACCUAGCCGGGCCUGAAGAAGAAGACGCGCAGGAUGCGCCGCGAUGGCAUACAUAGCGCCCUAGAGGCCCAUGUCCCAAGGGGCAACCCACACCAAAAGCAAGACGCUCCAAACUCUAGCUCCGAGGACUCCGCGAGCAGCCAAGGCGGCGCCUUCAUGAAGGUAACGACGCCGUGACGCCGCCGUCGCCUGUUCCGAAGGGCCGGAACAAGGGUUUCCCCCGGAGCUCGAGGAGGGACAUGAUCAGGACCAUGGCAGCGCCCCAAGAAGGAAACGGCACCCACAGGCGUCGUCGCUGCCAGCAUCGGCAAGCCGUGCGGAGAUUUCGCCCCGUCCAUGAACAAAGUCCAAACCACCGGAGCCACGACCAGGGAGUAGAUUGCCGGGUGAGUUCACCGCUACAGGAAGGCAAGAGACACUCAUCAACGUUGCAGAGAGGUGACACCGGACGCCGCCGGCCUCCCCUCCACCAACAGCGACCACGACCGACCGUCCUCAAAGUAUGAGGCGGAUCCGUCGGACCACCACCCAGAGCCGGCGCUCUGGCAUCCCGAAUCCACAGCGGGCCGCGUAGCCUACCGGAAUCCCACCGUCGAGCGCGCCGACCGUCGGACAGAGCCAACCUUGAGCAUCGCCGGCACCACACCACCACCACCAACCAUCCUCAACCACGCCGGAAAAGGGAGCAACCCAGGCGCGCAACCACCACCGCUCGGGGCCGCCGGUCGGCGCCCGAGCCCACACCACCCGGAGGAAACCGGAUCUGGGUCGGAUGCCCGAGAUCCGUCGCCACCAGCCGCCAAGGCCGCCCCCCACGCUGCCCCUGCAGCCGUGGCGGCACAGCCACCGCCGGAGUCCCCUGGGGCCGCCGCCCCAGCAUCCCGCAUCCACCGCGCCGUCGGACGCCCAGGGGCGCCGUCGCGCCGCAGCCGGAGGCCUCCUCGCAAGGAACGCAGGCGAGCCCGCCACCGCCGUCAGCCAAGUGAGCUUCGCUCGCCGGCCUCCUCCGGCGGCGGCGGGGAGAGGAGAGUCGGGGGCGGCGGCGGCUAGGGUUCGCCCGAGCCGCCCCCCUGGAGGCAGCGCGGGCGACGGGCACCUUCCAGCGAACAACAGUGACAGUGCUCCUAACGACCACACAUUUGAGAAUUGUCAACUUAAGAAUACUCAAGGGAUACUGAAGCACUGCAUCAACUAAAUUUAUGAGCAUGCACCGCAAACUAAUUCGCUGUGACAACUAGCUUUUUCAAUCAAGAAGCCGUAAUUAACAAUAGGCCCUAACCUUUUCGUCCAGCCCGGAGCCUCCGGGUUUACUUUCCCGGUUGAAUGGGCGGACUGUGUUGGCAAGCUGUUCUUCCUUCACCUAGCAUGGAAACCACUUCUCUGCGGGCUGCGGUCAUGGACCUCCCGGGCGUAGCCGCAUGCACACUUCGAGCCACUUUCCAUGCCGGAAUCGGUCCGCC